AAUGCUGUGCACCGUCGAAGGAGUGCGAACAGAGGAUCAUAUCGUCAGGUCGCUGCUGUGACUAUUCCAGCAACUCAACAACAACAGAGAAGACCAGCUCAACAGCAUCAGCGUCAACAACAUCGUCCUCAGCAGCAGGCUUACCAGCCUCCCAUUGAUAAUCAAGCUGGUACAAGUAAUGAGAGGAAGAAGAUCAUUUUUGAUCCAAU
RNAcentral lists this long non-coding RNA (209 nucleotides) under Lathyrus oleraceus (garden pea). RNAcentral describes it as "Pisum sativum (pea) long non-coding RNA (PSAT_LNC036870)". The record is from RNAcentral. Lineage: Eukaryota; Viridiplantae; Streptophyta; Magnoliopsida; Fabales; Fabaceae.